CUGUUGUUCGUGUUGUGUGUGUGUGUGUGUGUGUUGUGUGGGGGUGGGGUGGGGGUGUGGGGGGUUGACAUUUUGUAGACAUUCAGAAAAGACAGGAUCCAGUUUCCAAACACCUGUUCAGGCUAUAGAGUGAUUGAGCAGCGUUAAAGAGAGCGACACAGAGUUGAGUCAAGUGUUUUUCAAGUAUUCCAUUGUCAGGAAGAGCCCCCACAUCUUUCUCUCCAUCUAAUGCUAUCUUAGCGUCUUGGCUGAGGCUUGUUGGCUUACAGUGAUGGAGA
Etheostoma spectabile (orangethroat darter) is the source of this 278-nucleotide long non-coding RNA. RefSeq lists it as uncharacterized. The record is from RefSeq and is a predicted model, not a curated record. The transcript has 2 exons. Lineage: Eukaryota; Metazoa; Chordata; Actinopteri; Perciformes; Percidae.